GGCCAGCUGAAGGACACCUCUGGGUGUGGGAAUUUCUCGCUGCAUUGAAGACCUGUUGGUGACCUUCUGCUGUUGUUUGUUCUAUGGUCCGGUUGUUGUGUCUUUGAUACAUUUCCCAUUUCAAUUCUUAAUUUUAUGUAUAUUAUUGUCCUCUUUCUAUAAUGAUAAAAUUGUGAAAGGAAAUGGGGAAUGUGUCAAAGCGACAACAACCCGACCAUAGAGCAGACAAAAGCCAAAGGCCACCAUGCAAUGGGUCUGUAUUAAUUCUUUGAAAAUAAAUGAAAUAAAAUUCAUCUCUAAAACAGUGUUUAUAUAAUGUACUUAGACUUGCUACAAUUCCCUAUCUUUUUU
This 351-nucleotide long non-coding RNA is filed under the name Mytilus galloprovincialis (Mediterranean mussel). The record is from RNAcentral. Lineage: Eukaryota; Metazoa; Mollusca; Bivalvia; Mytilida; Mytilidae.